This 808-nucleotide long non-coding RNA is filed under the name Linum usitatissimum (flax). RNAcentral describes it as "long non-coding RNA (LUSI_LNC006365)". The record is from RNAcentral. Lineage: Eukaryota; Viridiplantae; Streptophyta; Magnoliopsida; Malpighiales; Linaceae.
AUUAAUAUCAUCAAACCCACAAUCCAUGGAAGCUUGAAAUUACUAAACAUAAAAGAGGCAGCCAUGGUCAAUUGGUCAGCACUUAGAAGGGUAGCAGAAUGGCAACACCGCAGCAACCGACGAAGACUUACCCUGAUGGAAGCUUGUGAUUUGUAAGGUCUGCACGAAUACUUUCCUGUCUCUUUUAAUAGCAUUUAGCAAGCAACAACUUGAUCUAUCUUGAUUUCUUGAAAAUCGAAUUGGGGGUUGUAUCUGAUGAUGUAAGGAUCGAUGAAGAUCGUAAUUGAAGUCGUCGGCGGCUGGAGCCGCAUAAGUGAGAUGAUCUGCAAGAUUAGGAUGAUGGUUUUCGGAGACCCAAGCCGAAGAGAUCGAGAAAUAAAUCGGAGAAAGAAAUUGAAGAAAAGAAUCGGAGAAGACGAUGGAUUGAUUGCAUCACUAUUCUAGAAGAUUCUUGGAGACCGAAUAAUGAGAUAAAAAAUUGGGAAUCCGUGACGGGUAUCCGAAGAAUUAAGAGGUAGUGGUAUUAAAAUAAUACAUGUACAAUUGUAAAUAAUUAAAUAUAUGGGUAGGGACGGGUAUCCGAGACGAAUAGUAAGUUUUCGAAAUCCUACCUGUGCCCGUAAUUUUUGGGUGGCGAGUUUAUCUGAAUUCGUAAAAAUAUAUGAUCAAAUGGGUUUUGUCCAGUUAAUCAGAACGGUGGGAGCGGGGAUCAAGAUUUUCAGAUUUGAUUGCCAAGCAUAUUAGUAUGAUUCAGAUUCUAUUCUCACUAUUAUGUUUAUAAGGCCCUGAGCAUCUACCUGAUUCUGUG